Molecule: ribosomal RNA, 331 nt
Filed under: uncultured eukaryote
Lineage: Eukaryota
Description: partial 18S ribosomal RNA
Rfam family: Eukaryotic small subunit ribosomal RNA
Source: RNAcentral
CCCUUAGAUGUCCGGGGCUGCACGCGCGCUACACUGAAGGAAUCAGCGUGCUAGAAAACCUUGUUUGACAUGGCUAGGUAACCCGUUGAAAAUCUUUCGUGAUUGGGAUCGGGACUUGCAAAUGUGUCCCUUGAACGAGGAAUUCCCAGUAAGUGCGGGUCAUAAGCUCGCGCUGAUUACGUCCCUGCCCUUUGUACACACCGCCCGUCGCUGCCCGGAACUGAGCCGUUUCGAGAAGACUGGGGACUGCGAACUUUGGGCUGGAAAACAGCUUUUUGUUUGUGGAAACCACUUUAAUCGCAGCGGCUUGAGCCGGGCAAAAGUCGUAACA